GAGGAUUCUAUGAAAAGAUGAAACAAGGAGCUCAGCACUGGGCCUGGUGUGUGGUGUAUGGCAGAUCAGGCCCUGGAGCUGGCUCUCUUCAACAAAAGUGCUCGGCCUAUGACCAUCUUUCAAGUCUCUAAAAGAAGUUACUACUACAUGAUUAAUGUCACCUGGUCAGUGAACACUGUUUACUAAAUACCAUCUUCUGCUGAUACAUGGAAGAAAAGAAGAUAUUUUUAAAAAAGAAACAAAAUCUAGCUUCUG
Long non-coding RNA from Suricata suricatta (meerkat), 255 nucleotides. RefSeq lists it as uncharacterized. The transcript is spliced from 4 exons. The record is from RefSeq and is a predicted model, not a curated record. Lineage: Eukaryota; Metazoa; Chordata; Mammalia; Carnivora; Herpestidae.